GAUGAACGCUAGCGGCAGGCUUAACACAUGCAAGUCGAACGGUAACAGGAUUGAUUUAUCAAUUGCUGACGAGUGGCGCACGGGUGCGUAACACGUGUGCAACCUACCCUUUACAGGAGAAUAGCCCCGAGAAAUCGGGAUUAAUACUUCAUGGUAUCAUAAGAUCGCAUGGUCUAAUGAUUAAAGUUUCGGCGGUAAAGGAUGGGCAUGCGGUCUAUUAGUUUGUUGGUAAGGUAACAGCUUACCAAGACUUCGAUAGAUAGGGGGUCUGAGAGGAUGAUCCCCCACACUGGUACUGAGACACGGACCAG
RNAcentral lists this ribosomal RNA (311 nucleotides) under uncultured bacterium. RNAcentral's name for it is "bacterial SSU rRNA". It matches the Rfam family "Bacterial small subunit ribosomal RNA", at positions 28 to 334 of the family's 1533-position model. The record is from RNAcentral.